RNAcentral lists this ribosomal RNA (567 nucleotides) under uncultured Glomeromycotina. RNAcentral describes it as "SSU rRNA". It matches the Rfam family "Eukaryotic small subunit ribosomal RNA", at positions 548 to 1114 of the family's 1831-position model. Lineage: Eukaryota; Fungi; Glomeromycota. The record is from RNAcentral.
UUGGAGGGCAAGUCUGGUGCCAGCAGCCGCGGUAAUUCCAGCUCCAAUAGCGUAUAUUAAAGUUGUUGCAGUUAAAAAGCUCGUAGUUGAACUUCGGGGUUUACCCAUUGGUCAGGCUUAAUUGUCUGUACUGGUGAGAUGAAUCUCUACCUUCUGAGGAACUUUCAUGCCAUUUAUUUGGUGUGAUGGGAAAUCAGGACUGUUACUUUGAAAAAAUUAGAGUGUUUAAAGCAGGCUAACGUCUGAAUACAUUAGCAUGGAAUAAUGAAAUAGGACGGACUGAUUCUAUUUCGUUGGUUUCUAGGAUCACCGUAAUGAUUAAUAGGGAUAGUUGGGGGCAUUAGUAUUCAAUUGUCAGAGGUGAAAUUCUUGGAUUUAUUGAAGACUAACUACUGCGAAAGCAUCUGCCAAGGAUGUUUUCAUUAAUCAAGAACGAAAGCUAGGGGAUCGAAGACGAUCAGAUACCGUCGUAGUCUUAACCAUAAACUAUGCCGACUAGGGAUCGGACGAGGUUAAUUUUAUAAUGACGCGUUCGGCACCUUACGGGAAACCAAAGUGUUUGGGUUC